GGACGCUUAGCUCAGCUGGUUCAGAGCAUCGCCCUUACAAGGCGGGGGUCAUAGGUUCGAAUCCUAUAGCGUCCACCC
This 78-nucleotide transfer RNA is filed under the name Fidelibacterota bacterium. RNAcentral describes it as "tRNA-Val". It matches the Rfam family "tRNA". From Rfam's summary of the family: Transfer RNA (tRNA) molecules are approximately 80 nucleotides in length. Their secondary structure includes four short double-helical elements and three loops (D, anti-codon, and T loops). Lineage: Bacteria; Pseudomonadati; Fidelibacterota. The record is from RNAcentral.